AGUGAACGCUGGCGGUAGGCUUAACACAUGCAAGUCGAACGGAAGCACAGUAAGAGCUUGCUCUUACGGGUGGCGAGUGGCGGACGGGUGAGGAAUAUAUCGGAAUCUACUUUUUCGUGGGGGUUAACGAAGGGAAACUUACGCUAAUACCGCAUAUGAUCUCCGGGUGAAAGCAGGGGAUCUUUGGACCUUGCGCGAUUGAAUGAGCCGAUGUCGGAUUAGCUAGUUGGCGGGGUCAAGGCCCACCAAGGCGACUAUCCGUAGCGGGUCUGAGAGGAUGGUCCGCCACACGGGAAGUGAGACACGGUCCAGACUCCUACGAGAGGCAGCAGUCGGGAAUAUUAGGCAAUGGUCGCAAGCCUGAUCCAGCCAUACCGCGUAGGUGAAGAAGGCGUUCGGGUUGUAAAGCCCUUUUGUUGGGAAAGAAAAGCAGCAGGUUAAGACCCCGCGGUUCUGACGGUACCCGAAUAAGAAGCACCGGCUAACUUCGUG
RNAcentral lists this ribosomal RNA (492 nucleotides) under uncultured bacterium. RNAcentral's name for it is "partial 16S ribosomal RNA". It matches the Rfam family "Bacterial small subunit ribosomal RNA", at positions 29 to 507 of the family's 1533-position model. The record is from RNAcentral.